AACGAUCUGUAAGGGGGAACCUUUGUGACAUCCAGGGGAGGAAAGUCAAUGCAGUUCACUCAGGGGAUGAGGAUGGCCCUGGGCCCAGAGCUUAGGAGUGAAGAAACACAUUCCCUGGCCCAUAUGAGGUACCCCAGCCCAGGUGACCUUCACCCUGCCCAGAUAUUUUUUCAGACUUGUCUGGAAUUGAGAGGUGCAGCAUGAAGGGGAUGCUGCAUUGCACUGAAGGUCAGCAGAGACACACCUCCAAACACAUGACUUGUUGAGGACAAAUAAACCCUUGACUGGAGCACUGCA
This is a long non-coding RNA of Numida meleagris (helmeted guineafowl), 297 nucleotides long. RefSeq lists it as uncharacterized. The record is from RefSeq and is a predicted model, not a curated record. The transcript has 2 exons. Lineage: Eukaryota; Metazoa; Chordata; Aves; Galliformes; Numididae.